This 68-nucleotide transfer RNA is filed under the name Phalanger gymnotis. RNAcentral's name for it is "tRNA-Thr". It matches the Rfam family "tRNA". From Rfam's summary of the family: Transfer RNA (tRNA) molecules are approximately 80 nucleotides in length. Their secondary structure includes four short double-helical elements and three loops (D, anti-codon, and T loops). Further hydrogen bonds mediate the characteristic L-shaped molecular structure. tRNAs have two regions of fundamental functional importance: the anti-codon, which is responsible for specific mRNA codon recognition, and the 3' end, to which the tRNAs corresponding amino acid is attached (by aminoacyl-tRNA synthetases). tRNAs cope with the degeneracy of the genetic code in two manners: having more than one tRNA (with a specific anti-codon) for a particular amino acid; and 'wobble' base-pairing, i.e. permitting non-standard base-pairing at the 3rd anti-codon position. The record is from RNAcentral. Lineage: Eukaryota; Metazoa; Chordata; Mammalia; Diprotodontia; Phalangeridae.
GUCCAAGUAAUUUAACCAAAAUACUGGCCUUGUAAGCCAGCAAUGAAGGAUAAACCCUUCCUAGGACA